RNAcentral lists this ribosomal RNA (274 nucleotides) under uncultured bacterium. RNAcentral's name for it is "partial 16S ribosomal RNA". It matches the Rfam family "Bacterial small subunit ribosomal RNA", at positions 523 to 796 of the family's 1533-position model. The record is from RNAcentral.
AUACCGAGGGUGCAAGCGUUAAUCGGAAUUACUGGGCGUAAAGCGCGCGUAGGUGGUUUGUUAAGUUGGAUGUGAAAGCCCCGGGCUCAACCUGGGAACUGCAUCCAAAACUGGCAAGCUAGAGUACGGUAGAGGGUGGUGGAAUUUCCUGUGUAGCGGUGAAAUGCGUAGAUAUAGGAAGGAACACCAGUGGCGAAGGCGACCACCUGGACUGAUACUGACACUGAGGUGCGAAAGCGUGGGGAGCAAACAGGAUUAGAUACCCCUGUAGUCC